Molecule: ribosomal RNA, 301 nt
Filed under: uncultured bacterium
Lineage: Bacteria
Description: partial 16S ribosomal RNA
Rfam family: Bacterial small subunit ribosomal RNA
Source: RNAcentral
CAGCCGCCACGGGAAUACGGAGGGUGCAAGCGUUAAUCGGAAUUACUGGGCGUAAAGCGCACGCAGGCGGUUUGUUAAGUCAGAUGUGAAAUCCCCGAGCUUAACUUGGGAACUGCAUUUGAAACUGGCAAGCUAGAGUCUUGUAGAGGGGGGUAGAAUUCCAGGUGUAGCGGUGAAAUGCGUAGAGAUCUGGAGGAAUACCGGUGGCGAAGGCGGCCCCCUGGACAAAGACUGACGCUCAGGUGCGAAAGCGUGGGGAGCAAACAGGAUUAGAUACCCGCGUAGUCCCUGUCUCUUAUAC